This is a long non-coding RNA of Equus asinus (donkey), 2516 nucleotides long. The record is from Ensembl. NCBI's taxonomy places the organism in Eukaryota, Metazoa, Chordata, Mammalia, Perissodactyla, Equidae.
UGCGUGUCAACUGUAGAGCCAACAACCUUCAGAGGGAUUUAUUUAGUCAAGUGGUGCCUUAGGAACAGAAAGACACUGAAAACAGCAGCUUAAGAUCUGCGUUUUUUGCACACUCUUGCCUCUGAGUUGGAGCUCAGAGGAGGGGACCCAGUCUAAGUUUUUUGAUGACUGGAAGGACGCUCCAACACAUUGCUUCAGCCUUUCACACCAGGCUCAGAAAAACCCUCAGUGUUUGCUAUGUGGAUGUUUGUUUCUGGUUUGCCCGGCACAAAUCACAAAUCACGGAUGCUCUCUGACUUCCUGGCUGUUGCUCUCUGGCCCUGGAGGGGAUGUCUGAUGGGGUCAAAUCCGCCUUUGCUCUUCAGUGGGAUAGCUCUACUGUUCACCCUGCGUUUGUUCCUGUGAUCACCCCUGAACGGACAGCAGUGCCAGGCUCUGGCCUAUUAGCUCCCACUGCAGCCAGCCCUUUCAUAAAUAACUGAUUGUCAGGGAUUUUAAUGGAAACCCUGUGGAAGCGGUAAAUCUUUGCUGCUUGCUCCUGCAUCCUCUCCCUCAUUUCCAUCACAAUAUCACUCCAGAGGGAUGUGAGACCAAAGCGGGAGCGGAGCGUGGCAGAGCAGAUUGGUAGGACACUGGGGAAAGAAAGAGGCGGGAUGGGGGAGGGGAACAGAGCUGGGGCAGUUGGUCUUAGGGAAGCAUCUGCUGGGUGGCCAGUUGAUGAUGGUCACCUGGGUCCCCAGAGCCCUGGAGAGGGGGAGUGGCAAGAUAGCCCAGGGCCACCUGGAGGGAAGAGGGAAGACAACAGGACGGCAGAAAGGUUUCUAGAAGAGCAGCAAUGGGCUGCUGGUUCCCCCUCGGGCCCUCCAGGGUGAGCAGGUUUUCAGUGUCUGCUUGGGGCUAAGCUAUGCCUUUGCCUCUAGCCUCCUGCCUGCGCAGAUCAGCAGGUAAAGGGACAGUGUCCUGUGUUGGGAGGAAAACUUUUCCUCUACCAACUUAGGUGCAAAAGGUAACAAAGUAUAUUCACAUAUAUAUGAGAGCACUCAGGAGUGAGUAACUCUUCAAACAGGUAGAGAUAAACGUUUAUACAUCAGCUUAAAAAGGGAGGUUUAGGGCUUCAAAGGAUGGAAGACCCUGAUGAGACCUGUUAACACAAUUUUUUUGGAAUGUCCAUGUGUCCAAGGACAGAGCCUGCCUCCCUGGCAAUUUUCCUGGAGGAUGAGGGAGGCAGUUGUGGCAGGUGACUCUCAUAAAGCUCUGCUUUAUUUAGAUAAGAGAAAUUCAGAUAAGACAUCUUUCUGCAUCUGCUGUAGCUCAAAUGUUUUCAUUUCAAGUGAAAACUAUGCUGGAGGGUUUUUUCAGUCCCUUCACCUUUCCUCCAGCAUCCUAUCAGAGCACAGCAUGAAGACUGGGCACUCUCAUCGGAUGCAAUGCUCCCAAUGAAUCUGCUAAAAGCUCACAUCCUCUGGGAAACUCUCCUGGACCAGCUCCAACAGGCUUCACAUGAAAGAUGUGGAUCUGGCCUCCUCCAUUAGUUCUCUUGACUAUAGGUUUUCAAAGAAGGGCCUGCUUCUCCUCCUCACAUGUCUUCCAAGAGCCCUCAGUAGAGAGGAAUGACCCAUAGUCUUCCAGAAGUCUAAGAAUAAACAAUUCUUUUUCACAGGAGCAGCUGCAUUUCAGUGGCACCAAGUCAAGCAUCUGGAAAAUAGGCAACAAGAAUCCUUGGAUCAAUCCACAAGGGAGUUUCCUAAAAUCAUUAGGGUUCAGGAACUUAAAAUCGAUCCUUUGCUCUUUCACCCAUCCUGAAUUAACCCAGGCAGAAACAGCUCUACUGACUGCCAAUCCUUCGCAGGCAGGAGUCUGGGCUUAGACAGGUGGAAACCGAAGGAAACCACAAUUAAUUUGAAUCCGUUCUCUACUCUCAUUCCCAAUCUGUCCGAGGACAGUCAAGACGUUAUGAGAAGCCAAGACCCCCGAGCUCCAGGCAGCCCUCUCUUAUCGGCCAGUUCAGUAGAGGGGCCACGAGCCCCCUACACACUCUGAGUAGACGGAUGAUUUACUAAGUCUGAGCGGUUCAUUAUAGGUUUUCAAUACCCAUUUUACUUUAAAGAAGCUAAGCUUCCAAGAGAUAAUGUCAACUGCCCGAGGUUACACAAGCAGUAAUACGCCUGAGAUCUUGACUUGGGUCUCAAUCCAACGCUCUCCGCACGGCGCCUCCUGCCCCUAGUUGUGGAUAUUUAUCUCCCUGGAGGCCUAAGGAUGUACAGGCCCCCCUCGCUCAGCGCAGCCCAGCGCAGCCGGGCGAGGGAGCCAGACCCCCGGAUCCGCGCCCACCCCGAUGUUCCGGCCGCGCCUGCGCAAGGCUCCCCGACCGCGCUGGCCGGGGUGGCCGCGGACCCGGGCUGGGGCGCGUGGUGGGACGGGGUGGGAGGGCUGGGGAGGGCAGGGACCCGCGCAGGACGAGCGGUGGUCGGCCCCGCGCGCCGCCGGCGCGGCCCAGCGUCCUCGGCGUCUCCCGG